RNA transcript from Chiroxiphia lanceolata (lance-tailed manakin), 2344 nucleotides. It is a transcript of the gene named mitochondria localized glutamic acid rich protein, with no coding region annotated. Lineage: Eukaryota; Metazoa; Chordata; Aves; Passeriformes; Pipridae. The record is from RefSeq and is a predicted model, not a curated record. The transcript is spliced from 7 exons.
CCGCAGCCCCGCGCCGACGGGCACAGUCGAGCGCCCGCUCCGCUGCCCGCCGCCGCCACCACCGCCACCAUGUCCCUGUGCAGGGCCGCCUCGCAGGCGCUGGCGUUCCGCCUGAGCAGGGCUCCCGCCGCCGCCGGCCGCCUCAAGCAGCGCGCACCUCUUCGCCAGAUGUCAUCUGGGAGCGUUCCUGGCUCUUCUGGAGAGAAUAUGAUUAUCUAUCUACUUGCUGGUGUUGCGGCUUUCAGUGGUUUAUUUUAUGCCUACAGAGUAGUCAGUUCAUCCCGCAGCAGGUUUAUUGACCAUGUGAAUGUUCUUCAUGAGAGAGCUGAGGGGCGGAAAGGCAACCCUUGGUCAAGGAAGGAAGGUGAUGAAGAGACGGAUGAAGUCACUGAAGCAGAGAAAGCCACGGAAGAGGCUGAUGCAGCAGAUGCUGCUGGACCCACAGCACAGGAUGAGAGUGCUGGACCCGCAGCACAGGAUGAGAGCUCUGGGGAAUCCCCAGAAGCUGGAGGGGAGAACGACUUACCAGCUCCAGAGGCAUCCCCUGCUGUGGAGGAAGCACAGCAGGAAGCUGCUGCUAAUUCAGAAGCUGCUGCUAAUUCGGAAGUUGCUGCUAAUUCAGAAGCUGCUGCAGUGCAAGAAUCUGUGAGUGAAGUCUUGGAUGUUGCAGCUUCUUCUGCCCUUGAGGAAAACUUAGACAGUGGCGAGGAAGGAGUAGCCUCAGCAGCUCAAGAGCUUUCUGACACAGCCUCCGAGAGCCAGGACGCUGAUGCUGAGGAGUCGUGGCAAACUGCAGAAGUUUCUGAGGAGGAGAAGACACCUGAAGAAUCUGCUAAAGACCCCUAAAGGUACACAGUACAGUUGCAGCACGUGGUUUCCUGCUCUUCACCUAUCUUUUUUUCUCAGUUAGUGGCAAUUUGCAGCAUGUGUAAGCAGUGCUGGAGCCUUCGAAAAGUUUAACGGAAAUAUUUGUGGCAAUCAACCAGCUGAUUCCUGUGUGAAACCUCAUACUCUUCCUUGGAGACAUAAAAGAAACCGUGCAGUUUGUCAUGCCACGCACUGCUCAUUAGGACCAGUAUUCAGUGCUGCAACAGAUAAGAUUUAAGUUGCUUAGAGAGACGCUUCUGUGAUUAACAUCUCUGCUGUAGAAAGUAGCACCCAGUCAAAGUACCACUCAGCAUGUCCUAAAUACAUGUGCUAAGAGAAGCAGUAGACUUAACUAAACCAUGCCAGGUGAACUCCUUUUAGGUCUUUGUUGUCUCAUUAUGUACAUUGAUUUCUUACUCUUGGUCCAAACUGCUGUGCAUAGUUAUACCAUUGUAACAUUCCAUGCUAAAAUGUAAGUAAAAGGUUUUAAAUCAAGUCAAAAUCUUUUAAAAAUUACAUGUUAGCAUUUUUAAAUUGGAUCACGGGGAAAACAGCAACCUGUUUGCUCCCAAGUUUGGAUUUAAGAUUGUAAGCAUAGGACAUCUGGCUGUACAGUAUCUAAUUUUCCCCCUGCAUAAACAUUUCAGAUACUACCCUUCCUUGCACAAUAAUAUCCAGGACUAAACAUUUUUAAGGCUCCUUCUUUGGGAAGAAAACCUGUUUGCAAGUGCUUUCAAUAGGUACUUCAUAGCAUGACAAUCAAAAUAAUGCCAGUUGAUGUUACUGAUCAUGGAUCGAAGUGGUGGCUCCUGCCUUGGGGAUGCUGGGCUCUGCUCCUACCAAAUCUCAAAAUCCCAAUGGAAGGCUAUGCAACAGGUGUUCAAAUGGACAAGGAUUCUUAGGGAUUAAGAAAGAACAGAAUAGAUAAAUAAUCUUGUGUUCUUAGUAUUAACUUCAUACAGAAUACAUCUAUCAUGAAUAAUGGAUUUGUAUGACACUGUUCUCCUAACCCUCCAUUGUGCUACGUGCAUGAGUGUGCAUUUAAGACAAAAUGCUGAGACCCAUUACAGCCACCACAGAAUGGCAACAAUUCUAAACCAGAGCCAAAAAAGGUAUAUUAUAUACUAUUAUUUAUAUAGAAAGUGUGCUUUAUAAGGUGUAUCUGACUCUUUUCUCUUCAAGCAGAACUCUGGAAAAUGUUGAAAGGGAAAUGACAGCAUUAUGACAUUCCUACCCAUGGCACAAAGCAACACAUGCUGCUUCCCCCAUCAUAAAGCAAAUUAUAAUAGUGUUCCAACAAAAAUAUAGCCCGUUGCCCCUGGACCUGCUUAGGAAUAACUGGAAUAAUGUGGAGGCAAAAGUAGGCUCCUGAGCUUCAAGAAGACAUACUACGGCCUCCUGCUUAAAGGAUAAAGCCACUGUGAUUAAAAGCAAUUUUUGUAGACAAAGCUACUGGAAUAAAAGUCUUAGACUGAUA